UACGUAGGUGGCAAGCGUUGUCCGGAUUUAUUGGGUUUAAAGGGUGCGUAGGCGGCUUAUUAAGUCAGUGGUGAAAUAUCGCAGCUUAACUGUGAGGGUGCCAUUGAUACUGAUGAGCUUGAGUACAGAUGAGGUAGGCGGAAUUGACGGUGUAGCGGUGAAAUGCAUAGAUAUCGUCAAGAACACCUAUAGCGAAGGCAGCUUACUAAGCUGUAACUGACGCUGAGGCACGAAAGUGUGGGGAUCAAACAGG
Molecule: ribosomal RNA, 253 nt
Filed under: uncultured bacterium
Lineage: Bacteria
Description: partial 16S ribosomal RNA
Rfam family: Bacterial small subunit ribosomal RNA
Source: RNAcentral